GUGCACUCCUCCAGUUGACAGGGCUGGGUCAUAUAGCACCUCUCGAGUGUCCAGGACCAGCUCUCAGACCACGUGGGUAGACCGGGGACAGCUCUCGGGAUCGUGGGGUGCCUGUCCUCACAAGAGGAGGAGCAGCUUUAAACAAGCCGACGGGUGUCUGCUUCCAGGGCGGCUGCCCACCCUGCCUGGGGACCCUCUGAGUCUCCCCUCAGCCUGAGUCUAGCCUCAGCAUCGGUCUCCGGAGCCCUCAGAGCGGGUCCCAACCUAACAGCAGUCUUGCCUGUGUGUCGGCCACCUUCCUGAGCAAGAUCACCUAGCACCAUGGCCCUGUCCACCCCACAGCCGCUGCAGGGUGAAGCAUGAUUUCAUAUCAACAUGCCGGGUGCAGGGCAGGCCUAGUGCUUGGCAGGGCCCCGGGCUCCCCAUGGAAGUCCAUUGACCUCACACUCGGAGAGUCAGUCUUGGGCACUGACCCUUGGCUUAGACGUUGGCUUGGUGGUGGCCUUUGCACAGGGACCAGGUUCUGUAGAAGUGGUGAGAGUCCAAAAAUAGAGAAGCACACGCCAGGGAGCAUGAGGUCACAGGGGAACAGCGAAGUCACGGGGCACCAGCCUGAGACCCUGAGAUGGUGGGGUGUGCGCCUUGGCCAGGGCGGGCAGGCAGAGGGAGUCCUCACAGUGAGGAGGUCCAAGAGGGCCAGAACCACGCUCAGAUCAGGCGCACCGUGGUUCCUACCACCUGAAGGCACAGUGCUGGGGUCAGGAGUCUGAAUCGGGUCACCAGUGGGCCCCCUCCCCCUGCAGGGUGGAUGGGGGCAGGGGCCUCUCCCCUGUUCCUGUUCCUGUGGCUCUGGCCACAGACCUGUCACUCACCCCGGCUCUGCGCCCUUCUCCUCGAGGUCUCUGCGUUUCCUCUGUCCUUUCUCAGUACACCCAUCCUGUGCCUUCUCCUCAACCAGGGACCUGUGCCGAGACCCUCCUCCAGCAGGAUCAUGGCCCAGGCAGCAGGGUUAGGUCUUGGGCAUAGCCGUCGGGACUACUUUCUCUAUUUUUCUUUGGUUUGUUUUUUCCCCUAACCUGGAUCCGAAGCAGCACAGAGCAGGUCCCUGGAGACCAGCCGUGGCUCCUUUGUUUGCAGCUGAGGACUUUCGGGGAAAUGCUUCAUCUCUGCCCCACAUCUGCCUAAGGAGGAGAACAGCACCUGUUAUCCUAUUAUUUGAGCAGAAAGCCAUCACUGCCCUGAACAAGCCAGGAUCACGUACAAAAGCCAAAAGCAGCCAAGCUCAGCCACACCCUGAGAGGCGGCCAGUACCUGGAGGUGCCAUAGCCACACAGGCAGGAUUCCCCCUGGUUGCCUUGGUGUGUGCCCUGAGACACUCCUCCCUGCACUGUGGAAACACAAGUGGCCUUCCUUCAGUGCCCAGCGAUGGCCAUGCUGGGGGCUGCUGCCUGUGAGCCCUGGCUCAGAGUGACAGCCAGCCUCCUUCCAGCCAGGGGCCCAGGGCCUGCUUGCCAGGACCUCCCCAGCCUUCUCCCAGGGAGAUGCCCCACUGCCAUGGAAAGAGGGGUCCCCCUCACCCAGGUGGACCACUGACUGGUCUGUAGCCCUCCACUCAGCCCCUCAGUGUCAGUCCUCAGCACCCGUGAGCCGGCCACCCUUCGUCUUCAGACUGCAAUGAGUAGGUCCCACUAAGGGCAAGGCAGCAACGUCCUCUCCACACACAUGUGUGUAGGCAGGUCCUAUAGUGCACACCCACCCACACGUGCCUGUACACAUUCAUACACAUGGACACAAACACUCAGGCACACUCACAGACACGUGUGCAGGAGCACACACUGACCCCAAGGCCAGCCUUACCCUCUGUCUCUGAGUUUCAGCUCUGUCCUGAGGAGGCCACACCCAGGGCCCGAGCAGGCGAGGUCAGGAUGGCCCCUGAUCCAGCAGGAGGAGGGUCCAGGAGGUGGAGACCCUGCGGCUGCCUGUGUGGGUCACGUUGUCCAGUGGUUCAUGCUCUUGGGUGUCACCCUUGUCUCCGUUUCCAACACAGAUGGCCCAUUUUUAACAGAUUGUGCAAAAUUCCAUACUGAAAACCAUAUGCGUGACCAACGUCCUGUAUGGAAGAAUACAGUAAGCUGCACAGGCCCCCACGAAGGCGGCAGCACCCUGAGGCAGCCCACAGCCUGCCGCACCCCUGCCCACCCAUGGACUGCAGGCUGAUCCUGGCUGGCUCCCCAUGCAUGUGUGAGCACAUGGGUGUGCACUGCAGCUGUCCAC
This 2274-nucleotide long non-coding RNA is filed under the name Marmota monax (woodchuck). Lineage: Eukaryota; Metazoa; Chordata; Mammalia; Rodentia; Sciuridae. The record is from RNAcentral.